GAUGAACGCUGGCGGCGUGCUUAACACAUGCAAGUCGAACGAUGAACCUCACUUGUGGGGGGAUUAGUGGCGAACGGGUGCGUAACACGUGAGUAACCUGCCCUUGACUCUGGGAUAAGCCUGGGAAACCGGGUCUAAUACUGGAUACGACCUUCUGGCGCAUGCCAUGUUGGUGGAACGCUUUUGUGGUUUUGGAUGGACUCGCGGCCUAUCAGCUUGUUGGUGGGGUAAUGGCCUACCAAGGCGACGACGGGUAGCCGGCCUGAGAGGGUGACCGGCCACACUGGGACUGAGACACGGCCCAGACUCCUACGGGAGGCAGCAGUGGGGAAUAUUGCACAAUGGGCGCAAGCCUGAUGCAGCGACGCCGCGUGAGGGAUGAAGGCCUGCGGGUUGUAAACCUCUUUCAGUAGGGAAGAAGCCGGCUUUUGGGUUGGUGACGGUACCUGCAGAAGAAGCGCCGGCUAACUACGUG
This 475-nucleotide ribosomal RNA is filed under the name uncultured bacterium. RNAcentral describes it as "partial 16S ribosomal RNA". It matches the Rfam family "Bacterial small subunit ribosomal RNA", at positions 28 to 507 of the family's 1533-position model. The record is from RNAcentral.